Molecule: long non-coding RNA, 549 nt
Filed under: Vigna radiata
Lineage: Eukaryota; Viridiplantae; Streptophyta; Magnoliopsida; Fabales; Fabaceae
Description: long non-coding RNA (VRAD_LNC012798)
Source: RNAcentral
GCUCAUAGGGCCAUGAAAGUAGAGAAGAAACUCUUGAAAAAAGAAGUUUGUCACAACAAAUUUUCCAAAUCUUCAAGAGAUGUUUUUUACAAAUCCUCAUCAUCAAAGGAUAAAGCCAAGGAUGUUUCUAGGGAGCUCACUAACAAAUCUUGUCUUCCUUCUUAUUCUAACCAUUCCUCCUGAUACGCGGGGCCCAAGCCCAAUAAAUAAAGUCCACCAAAGAAUGAUAAAGAAGUAAUUUUACAUAAAGGAGGGGUGAGCUUAGCAAGCAAGGGGGCUGCAUCAUGAAUUCAAUUACAACACACCUUCAUCUUUUGCAUCUGUUCCACGUGUAAAUCUAGAAGUUUAAAUUUUCAGCACAUUUAUCACAUAUACCCCCACGUGGCUAUAGAUCCACAUUUCAUGGAACUUGUGCUGACUGCAAAGCACACCAUAGGCAUGAGAUGCUAUCUAUAAAUCCCAUUUGCCUCUUCUGUAAAAUUACUUUUGGAAUUAGAUAGAAUUGAAAUGCUGAUGUACUUUCCAGCCUUUUCUCCACCAAGAGUCAAU